Impatiens glandulifera is the source of this 484-nucleotide long non-coding RNA. RefSeq lists it as uncharacterized. The transcript is spliced from 3 exons. Lineage: Eukaryota; Viridiplantae; Streptophyta; Magnoliopsida; Ericales; Balsaminaceae. The record is from RefSeq and is a predicted model, not a curated record.
GUGAGGUUUUCACACCAUACAAGCAGUAAACCAUUUUCAAGAGUAGAAGAAGAAUUGAUAUGAGGCUAAAACUCGGACGUCCACCGACUAUUAUAGAGAGGUUUAGAAUGAGUCAAACUCUGUGAGUCACCAAAGACAACUCGACCCCAACGCCAAACCAAUUGUCACCAGAGAAGAUAAUAAACGAAGAUGGAGCAAGUGAUUAAUGACACUUCCGGUAUGUCCGACCUCAAUGUAACCGUGAGAGUGUUCGGGGCCCAACAAUACAGGACGGUGAUGGGUAUGGGGUCAGGCGUGUGACCAUCGUGUUUUCAUAGGGAUCGACGGAGGGACAACAAUUCACAACGUGGAGGGUCGCUAAUGGAGGAGAACCAACGACUCUAGAUGCGGGUCAAGAAGAGGUAGUUCAAAUUAACAAUGAGAGAAUACAAGUAGAAUUAGCGGAACUAGACGAAAAAUUGCAUUUAUAUUAGCACAGUUACAA